GGGCGAAAGCCUGAUGCAGCGACGCCGCGUGAGGGAUGGAGGCCUUCGGGUUGUAAACCUCUUUCGCUCAUGGUCAAGCCGCAACAAUGGUUGUGGUGAGGGUAGUGGGUAAAGAAGCACCGGCUAACUACGUGCCAGCAGCCGCGGUAAUACGUAGGGUGCGAGCGUUGUCCGGAAUUAUUGGGCGUAAAGGGCUUGUAGGCGGUUUGUCGCGUCUGCCGUGAAAUCCUCUGGCUUAACUGGGGGCGUGCGGUGGGUACGGGCAGGCUUGAGUGCGGUAGGGGAGACUGGAACUCCUGGUGUAGCGGUGGAAUGCGCAGAUAUCAGGAAGAACACC
This 337-nucleotide ribosomal RNA is filed under the name uncultured bacterium. RNAcentral's name for it is "bacterial SSU rRNA". It matches the Rfam family "Bacterial small subunit ribosomal RNA", at positions 373 to 710 of the family's 1533-position model. The record is from RNAcentral.